RNAcentral lists this ribosomal RNA (423 nucleotides) under uncultured bacterium. Its description in RNAcentral is "bacterial SSU rRNA". It matches the Rfam family "Bacterial small subunit ribosomal RNA", at positions 358 to 773 of the family's 1533-position model. The record is from RNAcentral.
GGAAUAUUGGACAAUGGGGGCAACCCUGAUCCAGCCAUGCCGCGUGUGUGAAGAAGGCUUUCGGGUUGUAAAGCACUUUAGUUGGGGAGGAAGGCGUAUGUGUGAAUAAUGCAGACGUUUGACGUUACCCAAAGAAUAAGCACCGGCUAACUCCGUGCCAGCAGCCGCGGUAAUACGGAGGGUGCAAGCGUUAAUCGGAAUUACUGGGCGUAAAGCGCACGUAGGCGGUUCAAUAAGUUAGAUGUGAAAUCCCCGGGCUUAACCUGGGAGCUGCAUUUAAAACUGUUGGGCUAGAGUUCGGUAGAGGGGGGUGGAAUUUCCGGUGUAGCGGUGAAAUGCGUAGAGAUCGGAAGGAACAUCAGUGGCGAAGGCGGCCCCCUGGACUAGGACUGACGCUGAGGUGCGAAAGCGUGGGGAGCAAAC